Molecule: non-coding RNA, 1263 nt
Organism: Rattus norvegicus (Norway rat)
Lineage: Eukaryota; Metazoa; Chordata; Mammalia; Rodentia; Muridae
Source: RefSeq, a predicted model, not a curated record
GGAACCUUGGGUAGGUAAUGCUUAUGGAGAUGGAGAGAAAACAGGUCAGGACUGUCCAUGUUCAUGGGAACUGAGAGCCAACCGAGAGCCAGGAAGAUCGGGCAAACCACUCUUCCACUGACCGCAGCACCAUGCAUGGUCCAUAGAGAGAGACACAUGCUGACGAGGGAGAUUUAAGAAGGCAUGGAAGGCCUGAUUCGAUGAUGAAUGGCAAGCCGCUACCCCGCUGAAAUGUCAAGUAUCUGGAAAGCUUGUCUUUAUGGUUUUUUUUUUCUACCAGACAAGAAAUAAAUGCAAGAAAAUUGAGGAAAAUAAGUUUGCUCAUGCAGGUACAAUUUAAAUUGAAGAGCAAUGUUUAGCAGGAUCCACAUUUAUUCUGCCAAGAUGAGAGACUUGCCCACUGAAGGCAAUGUGAUCUGGAGAUAUUUACUCUCAAAUCCAUAGACAUACUGUGGAAAUGCUCAAGAGAAGUGGGAAUAAGAAACUCUGCACCUUUUCUCUGCCUACCCUCUUGCUGAGUUCAAGCCGAUUUUACAACUGUAAGUCAAGAAUAGCAUCAUUUUUCAUCUGUGAAAUCAGACAGUCUCCCAGUAUAAAAAUCUCUGUCACUAUCUCUCACAAAUGCAAAGCAGGAAGAAACAUCUAUAACAGAGCAUGCCCUCUGUGACAGACUCCUGAUCCCCUUCUCUUCUGCCUCGGUGGAGUAGCUAUGUUCUCCUGAUCGCGAAUGAGCAGAAAGCGCUUUAUCAUCUUUUGUCUUGUUUUCAUCCUGCCCUGAAGAAGAAAAGAGACAAGAUAAAGGAAGUGGCUGCAGCUACCCGACGAUGCUCCGUUGACUCCUGUAAAAAUAACUGUUUCCAGGUCAAUACAUCUCUACUCUCCCUCCAUAAAAGAGAAGGAGCUGUAAAUAACACGGUGUGGAGACAUGUGUGGUACCCACCUGACCCAGUGUUGUCUUCGAAAUGCAUUCUGCCGAGUUCCUACUUCGGCUCCUCAUGAAGCCAAGUCGUCAUUAACACCUACAUGGUCUGAAAACACAAACCACGAGAAGCAAGAGCUAUCAAGUGUACAUAGAUCUGGGGGGCAAGGGGAGGACAAGGUAUUGGCUUAGUGUGUGAGGUUCUGAGCCCGUGGGUCUGUUUGUACUAUGUCCUGAGUCUAAGGUCCUGUAACUGUACCUUCCUGUCCUGAGUCAUUUGUAUCUCUUGGCUUUGUAAUAAACGCUGCACACAAAAAAGAAAAAAAGGAAAAAAAAAAAAGAAA